AUAGCCAGCAUGGCCAAAGCGCUGUGCUUAAGUGGUCCAAGCGACCGAAAGCACUUUGACCAUGCGGUGGUGGCCA
Non-coding RNA from Drosophila melanogaster (fruit fly), 76 nucleotides. Lineage: Eukaryota; Metazoa; Arthropoda; Insecta; Diptera; Drosophilidae. The record is from Ensembl.